This 467-nucleotide ribosomal RNA is filed under the name uncultured bacterium. Its description in RNAcentral is "bacterial SSU rRNA". It matches the Rfam family "Bacterial small subunit ribosomal RNA", at positions 330 to 797 of the family's 1533-position model. The record is from RNAcentral.
UCCAGACUCCUACGGGAGGCAGCAGUGAGGAAUAUUGGUCAAUGGGCGAGAGCCUGAACCAGCCAAGUCGCGUGAGGGAAGACGGUCCUAUGGAUUGUAAACCUCUUUUGCCGGGGAGCAAAAAGCGGUACGUGUACCGCAUCGAGAGUACCCGGAGAAAAAGCAUCGGCUAACUCCGUGCCAGCAGCCGCGGUAAUACGGAGGAUGCGAGCGAUAUCCGGAUUUAUUGGGUUUAAAGGGUGCGCAGGCGGGGAUUAAAGUCAGCGGUAAAAUUGCGGGGCGCACCCCCGACAAGCCGUUGAAACUGGCUUGCUAGAGUGGGCGAGAAGUAUGCGGAAUGCGUGGUGUAGCGGUGAAAUGCAUAGAUAUCACGCAGAACUCCGAUUGCGAAGGCAGCAUACCGGCGCCCAACUGACGCUCAGGCACGAAAGCGUGGGUAUCGAACAGGAUUAGAUACCCGCGUACCA